GGAGGAAGUAGGGGAUCGCAAGACCUUGCGCUUUUGGAGUGGCCGAUGCCUGAUUAGCUAGUUGGUGGGGUAAUGGCCUACCAAGGCGACGAUCAGUAGUUGGUCUGAGAGGACGACCAGCCACACUGGGACUGAGACACGGCCCAGACUCCUACGGGAGGCAGCAGUGGGGAAUUUUGGACAAUGGGCGAAAGCCUGAUCCAGCAAUGCCGCGUGAGUGAAGAAGGCCUUCGGGUUGUAAAGCUCUUUCAGUCGAGAAGAAAAGGUUGUGACUAAUAAUCACAACUCAUGACGGUAUCGACAGAAGAAGCACCGGCUAACUACGUGCCAGCAGCCGCGGUAAUACGUAGGGUGCGAGCGUUAAUCGGAAUUACUGGGCGUAAAGGGUGCGCAGGCGGCUUUGUAAGUCAGAUGUGAAAUCCCCGGGCUUAACCUGGGAAUUGCGUUUGAAACUACAAGGCUAGA
RNAcentral lists this ribosomal RNA (465 nucleotides) under uncultured ammonia-oxidizing beta proteobacterium. Its description in RNAcentral is "bacterial SSU rRNA". It matches the Rfam family "Bacterial small subunit ribosomal RNA", at positions 189 to 645 of the family's 1533-position model. The record is from RNAcentral. Lineage: Bacteria; Pseudomonadati; Pseudomonadota; Betaproteobacteria.